UUUUUGAAGGUCUGCCGAUUUGUACGUGGUGUUGUCUGCCUUGCAACACCAUUUAGGCGGGAAGCCUGUUGAUCCAUGUUCGUACCUUGGUUGUGCAAGCUGCGGCCAAUGACCAAGYGUGCUUUGGACAUGGUGAUGCGGGUAUCGAGACAAGGCAUGUCGGUUUAAUCGUUGCUUUCGCAUCGUUCGGUGCAUUCUGGGGGCUGUUUYGGCUUUUGGUUGCUUGCUUGGCCUUUGUGCUUGGCGKGUGGCUACUAGUUGGGCGGUCUUCGGGAAUGUCGAYCGUAAAGGUGCAUGAGUGGUGUUUGGUUUGUUACGGGUGGUUGGAUGUCUGCUUGCGCAGCAACUUCCUCGCGUGCAUACCUCUUCAGUUGUGYGGCAAGGCUUGUUUCGUCUUGAGCAUCUUUGUGGGUUUCCUGUGUUGCAUACCUAACCGAUGGCAUUGUGUGGUUCGAUAGACGUCCCUUUUCGUCAUGUGUCGCUCGUGCGACGUGUGAUGAACCUCGAAGCGGUCUYCGUGAUCCACCUUGUCGGUGCCSUUGCAUCGACGAUGUGGCCCAUGAAGCAUUGCUUGGUCUCUUGUGUACGGAACCUGAUUUGGGCAUGGGUCUUGCUUGAUCCUACAUUUGCCCUUGUUAAGCGUUCUCGCUUCUCUAAAA
This 659-nucleotide unclassified non-coding RNA is filed under the name Cousinia esfandiarii. Its description in RNAcentral is "partial contains external transcribed spacer and 18S ribosomal RNA". The record is from RNAcentral. Lineage: Eukaryota; Viridiplantae; Streptophyta; Magnoliopsida; Asterales; Asteraceae.